UCUGAGAUUAUAGGCACGAACCACUGCACCUAGCCUAUUUUCUUGACGCUCUGCCCUUUGUGCUGUUGGAAGCAGUUUUAAACAUGCUUUUCUACUACAGGAUGAUGCAUUUGUUAAGGUGAGAAAACUGAGGCUAAGAGAGGAAUUAAUGCUAGGAGAGGGUAAGUAGUUUGCCUACACUCAUAUAGCCAGUAAAUGGCGAGCCAGAAUUCAAACCUAGAUAUGACUUCAAAUUAUGUAAUUCUUAAUCUCUUUGGUUGCCAGGAAAUAUGAAAGUGUUACUGCCAUAGAUGAAAGAGACAUAAGACAUUUGAAAAGGGGACUAUCAAUAAAGCCAGCAGGUAAGUACCAAAUUAUCAAUAAAGAUAUAUACUAACAGGUUAGAUACAUAAAUUAACAGGUCAGAACAUGGAGGAAUGUCACAGAAGAAAAUGGUCUUGAACAUACAAGUAGGCAAGUAAGACAGGUAAACUGUGAAGAGAGGGAAAGUACAGAACAUUCAUGGCUACGGAAACGGAAUGAAUCUAAAGCAUGGAGAUGAAACACACAGGCAUGUUCAGGAGACAGUUUGUAUACACAGCAAGUUGGGAUAAGUUUAACUUCAGUUUCUUCAUUUUUCCUUAACUGCUUCAAACCCCUGCACAUUUCUGAAAAUAUUUCUAAGUGAAAAAAGGCACUUCUAACUAAACUUUUGAAAAUACAAUGUAAGCAAAUAUGCUGGGCAUAACACUACUCUUAUUAU
Sapajus apella (tufted capuchin) is the source of this 742-nucleotide long non-coding RNA. RefSeq lists it as uncharacterized. Lineage: Eukaryota; Metazoa; Chordata; Mammalia; Primates; Cebidae. The record is from RefSeq and is a predicted model, not a curated record. The transcript has 3 exons.